GUACACGCUGUGACUAGCAUAUCAAUAAGCGGAGGAAAAGAAACUAACAAGGAUUCCCCUAGUAACGGCGAGUGAAGCGGGAAGAGCUCAAAUUUGAAAUCUUAAAGGGUUUCCCUUUACGAAUUGUAGUUUAAAGAAGUGUUUUCUGUUGAGGUUUUGGUAAAAGUUCUUUGGAAUAGGACAUCAUAGAGGGUGAGAAUCCCGUAUUUGACCUUUACUUUCAACUUUGUGAUACACUUUCAAAGAGUCGGAUUGUUUGGGAAUGCAGUCCAAAAUGGGUGGUAAAUUUCAUCUAAAGCUAAAUAUUGGCGAGAGACCGAUAGCGAACAAGUACCGUGAGGGAAAGAUGAAAAGAACUUUGAAAAGAGAGUUAAACAGUACGUGAAAUUGUCAAAAGGGAAGCGUUUGACACCAGUGUUGUUUUCUGAAAAUCAAUUAAAGAACUGUUUAUGCUAAGUUGUUUAGACUUUAUCAGCUAACUGUUUAGUUUUGAGCUUUUCUUUAAUGCACUUUUCAGUUAACAAGUCAACAUCAAUUUCUUUUGCUGUAAAAAAGCUUGAGGAAGGUGGCUUGAGAUUCGUCUUAAGUGUUUAUAGCCUCUUGCCUAUGCAGUCGGAGAGAUUGAGGUCUGCAGCGUAGAUCCUUCGGGGCUAAAUGCAUUUGUGCUAAGUUAUAGCAUUUCAUAGACAACUUGUUGACUAUGAUUUGUCUUGUAGCUUACUCGCUUAUGUUAUUUUACCUACGCUUAGGAUGUUGACAGCAGUAUAGACUGU
Molecule: ribosomal RNA, 773 nt
Filed under: uncultured Neocallimastigales
Lineage: Eukaryota; Fungi; Neocallimastigomycota; Neocallimastigomycetes; Neocallimastigales
Description: partial large subunit ribosomal RNA
Rfam family: Eukaryotic large subunit ribosomal RNA
Source: RNAcentral